RNAcentral lists this ribosomal RNA (806 nucleotides) under uncultured bacterium. Its description in RNAcentral is "bacterial SSU rRNA". It matches the Rfam family "Bacterial small subunit ribosomal RNA", at positions 8 to 796 of the family's 1533-position model. The record is from RNAcentral.
AGAGUUUGAUCAUGGCUCAGGACGAACGCUGGCGGCAUGCCUAAUACAUGCAAGUCGAACGCUGAACCUCUCUGCUUGCAGAGGGGGGAAGAGUGGCGAACGGGUGAGUAACACGUGAGAAACUUGCCCAUAAGCGGGGGAUAACAUCCGGAAACGGGUGCUAAUACCGCAUAAGUAAUCACAUCGCAUGACGUGAUUAUGAAAGGUGGCUCUGCUACCGCUUAUGGAUAGUCUCGCGGCGCAUUAGCUAGUUGGUGGGGUAAUGGCCUACCAAGGCGAUGAUGCGUAGCCGACUUGAGAGGGUGAUCGGCCACACUGGGACUGAGACACGGCCCAGACUCCUACGGGAGGCAGCAGUAGGGAAUCUUCCACAAUGGGCGCAAGCCUGAUGGAGCAAUGCCGCGUGAGUGAAGAAGGACUUCGGUUCGUAAAGCUCUGUUGUUGGAGAAGAACAAGGAUAGGAGUAACUGUCUAUCCCUUGACGGUAUCCAACCAGAAAGUCACGGCUAACUACGUGCCAGCAGCCGCGGUAAUACGUAGGUGACAAGCGUUGUCCGGAUUUAUUGGGCGUAAAGCGGGCGCAGGCGGCUCCUUAAGUCUGAUGUGAAAGCCCACGGCUCAACCGUGGAAUGGCAUUGGAAACUGGGGAGCUUGAAUGUAGAAGAGGAAAGUGGAAUUCCAUGUGUAGCGGUGGAAUGCGUAGAUAUAUGGAGGAACACCAGUGGCGAAGGCGACUUUCUGGUCUAUUAUUGACGCUGAGGCUCGAAAGCGUGGGGAGCGAACAGGAUUAGAUACCCUGGUAGUCC